GAUGAACGCUGGCGGCGUGCCUAAUACAUGCAAGUCGAGCGAACAGAUAAGGAGCUUGCUCCUUUGACGUUAGCGGCGGACGGGUGAGUAACACGUGGGUAACCUACCUAUAAGACUGGGAUAACUUCGGGAAACCGGAGCUAAUACCGGAUAAUAUUUCGAACCGCAUGGUUCGAUAGUGAAAGAUGGUUUUGCUAUCACUUAUAGAUGGACCCGAGCCGUAUUAGCUAGUUGGUAAGGUAACGGCUUACCAAGGCGACGAUACGUAGCCGACCUGAGAGGGUGAUCGGCCACACUGGAACUGGGACACGGUCCAGACUCCUACGGGAGGCAGCAGUAGGGAAUCUUCCGCAAUGGGCGAAAGCCUGACGGAGCAACGCCGCGUGAGUGAUGAAGGUCUUCGGAUCGUAAAACUCUGUUAUUAGGGAAGAACAUACGUGUAAGUAACUGUGCACGUCUUGACGGUACCUAAUCAGAAAGCCACGGCUAACUACGUG
Molecule: ribosomal RNA, 497 nt
Filed under: uncultured bacterium
Lineage: Bacteria
Description: partial 16S ribosomal RNA
Rfam family: Bacterial small subunit ribosomal RNA
Source: RNAcentral